Molecule: non-coding RNA, 139 nt
Organism: Aptenodytes forsteri (emperor penguin)
Lineage: Eukaryota; Metazoa; Chordata; Aves; Sphenisciformes; Spheniscidae
Source: Rfam
UGCAGCUGCGUCAAAUUCAGUCCUCGUCCAGCCCGUGCUGGGGACUGGCCAAACAGCUGCCACAGCAACAGCUGUAGCUCGUGAGCCCCCACUGUCCCUCUCCCUCGACCCUGGGGAUAAAUAAAUGCUACAAACACUG